GUCUACUGCCACACCACCCUGAAUGUACCUGAUCUUGGCUGAUGUGGGUAGCUAAGCAGGGUCGGGCCUGGUUAGUACUUGGAUGGGAGGAAAUGACAGGUUCUGUAUUAA
This 111-nucleotide ribosomal RNA is filed under the name Microtus ochrogaster (prairie vole). The record is from RNAcentral. Lineage: Eukaryota; Metazoa; Chordata; Mammalia; Rodentia; Cricetidae.